AGAGUUUGAUCCUGGCUCAGGAUGAACGCUAGCGACAGGCCUAACACAUGCAAGUCGAGGGGCAUCACAGAGUGGCAAUACUUGGGUGGCGACCGGCGCACGGGUGAGUAACGCGUAUGCAACCUACCUACAACAGGGGGAUAACCCGGAGAAAUUCGGACUAAUACCGCAUAAAACAGGGGUCCCGCAUGGGAAUAUUUGUUAAAGAUUUAUCGGUUGUAGAUGGGCAUGCGUUCCAUUAGUUAGUUGGCGAGGUAACGGCUCACCAAGACGUCGAUGGAUAGGGGAACUGAGAGGUUUGUCCCCCACACUGGAACUGAGACACGGACCAGACUCCUACGGGAGGCAGCAGUGAGGAAUAUUGGUCAAUGGACGAGAGUCUGAACCAGCCAAAUCGCGUGAAGGAAGACUGCCCUACGGGUUGUAAACUUCUUUUGUACAGGAAUAAAAGACAUUACGUGUAAUGUAUUGCAUGUACUGUACGAAUAAGCAUCGGCUAACUCCGUGCCAGCAGCCGCGGUAAUACGGAGGAUGCGAGCGUUAUCCGGAUUUAUUGGGUUUAAAGGGUGCGCAGGCGGGAUUUUAAGUCAGCGGUGAAAUUUUCAGGCUCAACCUGAACACUGCCGUUGAAACUGGGGUUCUUGAGUAUGGAUGAAGUAGGCGGAAUUCGUUGUGUAGCGGUGACAUGCUUAGAUAUAACGAGGAACUCCGAUUGCGUAGGCAGCUUACUAAGCCAUAACUGACGCUCAAGCACGAAAGCGUGGGGAUCAAACAGGAUUAGAUACCCUGGUAGUCG
Molecule: ribosomal RNA, 796 nt
Filed under: uncultured bacterium
Lineage: Bacteria
Description: bacterial SSU rRNA
Rfam family: Bacterial small subunit ribosomal RNA
Source: RNAcentral